Molecule: ribosomal RNA, 495 nt
Filed under: uncultured bacterium
Lineage: Bacteria
Description: bacterial SSU rRNA
Rfam family: Bacterial small subunit ribosomal RNA
Source: RNAcentral
AUGAACGCUAGCGACAGGCCUAACACAUGCAAGUCGAGGGGCAGCACAAGGAGCAAUCUGAGGUGGCGACCGGCGCACGGGUGAGUAACACGUAUGCAACCUGCCUGUAAGCGGGGAAUAACCCGUUGAAAGACGGACUAAUACCGCAUAAUACUAAAUUACUGCAUGGUAAUUUAUUUAAACAUUUAUGGCUUACAGAUGGGCAUGCGCAUGAUUAGCUAGUUGGAGAGGUAACGGCUCCCCAAGGCAACGAUCAUUAGGGGUUCUGAGAGGAAGGUCCCCCACACUGGUGCUGAGACACGGACCAGACUCCUACGGGAGGCAGCAGUGAGGAAUAUUGGUCAAUGGACGAGAGUCUGAACCAGCCAAGUCGCGUGCAGGAAGAAUGUCCUAAUGGAUUGUAAACUGCUUUUGCAGGGGAAUAAAGUGCAUCACGUGUGAUGUUUUGUAUGUACUCUGCGAAUAAGGAUCGGCUAACUCCGUGCCAGCAGCCGC